UACGUAGGUGGCAAGCGUUGUCCGGAAUUAUUGGGCGUAAAGCGCGCGCAGGCGGCCUCUUAAGUCUGAUGUGAAAGCCCCCGGCUCAACCGGGGAGGGCCAUUGGAAACUGGGAGGCUUGAGUAUAGGAGAGAAGAGUGGAAUUCCACGUGUAGCGGUGAAAUGCGUAGAGAUGUGGAGGAACACCAGUGGCGAAGGCGACUCUUUGGCCUAUAACUGACGCUGAGGCGACGAAAGCGUGGGGAGCAAACAGG
RNAcentral lists this ribosomal RNA (254 nucleotides) under uncultured bacterium. RNAcentral's name for it is "partial 16S ribosomal RNA". It matches the Rfam family "Bacterial small subunit ribosomal RNA", at positions 524 to 776 of the family's 1533-position model. The record is from RNAcentral.